Molecule: ribosomal RNA, 909 nt
Filed under: Penicillium restrictum
Lineage: Eukaryota; Fungi; Ascomycota; Eurotiomycetes; Eurotiales; Aspergillaceae
Description: LSU rRNA
Rfam family: Eukaryotic large subunit ribosomal RNA
Source: RNAcentral
AGCAUAUCAAUAAGCGGAGGAAAAGAAACCAACAGGGAUUGCCCCAGUAACGGCGAGUGAAGCGGCAAGAGCUCAAAUUUGAAAGCUGGCCCCCUCGGGGUCCGCAUUGUAAUUUGCAGAGGAUGCUUCGGGAGUGGCCCCCAUCUAAGUGCUCUGGAACGGGCCGUCAUAGAGGGUGAGAAUCCCGUAUGGGAUGGGGUGUCCGCGACCAUGUGAAGCUCCUUCAACGAGUCGAGUUGUUUGGGAAUGCAGCUCUAAAUGGGUGGUAAAUUUCAUCUAAAGCUAAAUAUUGGCCGGAGACCGAUAGCGCACAAGUAGAGUGAUCGAAAGAUGAAAAGCACUUUGAAAAGAGAGUUAAAAAGCACGUGAAAUUGUUGAAAGGGAAGCGCUUGCGACCAGACUCGCCUGCGGGGUUCAGCCGGUAUUCGUACCGGUGUACUUCCCCGUGGGCGGGCCAGCGUCGGUUUGGGCGGCCGGUCAAAGGCCCUCGGAAUGUAACGCCUCUCGGGGCGUCUUAUAGCCGAGGGUGCCAUGCGGCCAGCCCGGACCGAGGAACGCGCUUCGGCACGGACGCUGGCAUAAUGGUCGUAAGCGACCCGUCUUGAAACACGGACCAAGGAGUCUAACAUCUACGCGAGUGUUCGGGUGUCAAACCCGUGCGCGCAGUGAAAGCGAACGGAGGUGGGAACCCUCACGGGUGCACCAUCGACCGAUCCUGAUGUCUUCGGAUGGAUUUGAGUAAGAGCGUAGCUGUUGGGACCCGAAAGAUGGUGAACUAUGCCUGAAUAGGGCGAAGCCAGAGGAAACUCUGGUGGAGGCUCGCAGCGGUUCUGACGUGCAAAUCGAUCGUCAAAUUUGGGUAUAGGGGCGAAAGACUAAUCGAACCAUCUAGUAGCUGGUUCCUGCCGA